This 454-nucleotide ribosomal RNA is filed under the name uncultured soil bacterium. Its description in RNAcentral is "bacterial SSU rRNA". It matches the Rfam family "Bacterial small subunit ribosomal RNA", at positions 26 to 521 of the family's 1533-position model. The record is from RNAcentral.
AGAACGAACGCUGGCGGCAUGCCUAAUACAUGCAAGUCGAACGAACUCUUCGGAGUUAGUGGCGCACGGGUGCGUAACGCGUGGGAAUCUGCCCUUGGGUUCGGAAUAACAGUUGGAAACGACUGCUAAUACCGGAUGAUGACGAAAGUCCAAAGAUUUAUCGCCCAGGGAUGAGCCCGCGUAGGAUUAGCUAGUUGGUGAGGUAAAGGCUCACCAAGGCGACGAUCCUUAGCUGGUCUGAGAGGAUGAUCAGCCACACUGGGACUGAGACACGGCCCAGACUCCUACGGGAGCAGCAGUAGGGAAUAUGGACAAUGGGCGAAAGCCUGAUCCAGCAAUGCCGCGUGAGUGAUGAAGGCCUUAGGGUUGUAAAGCUUACUUUUACCGAGAUGAUAAUGACAGUAAGUACGGAAAAUAACGACCCCGGACUAACUCCGUGCCAGCAGCCGACGGU